GAUGAACGCUGGCGGCGUGCCUAAUACAUGCAAGUCGAGCGACCAGAUGAGGAGCUUGCUCCUCUGACGUUAGCGACGGACGGGUGAGUAACACGUGGAUAACCUACCUAUAAGACUGGGAUAACUUCGGGAAACCGGAGCUAAUACCGGAUAAUAUAUUGAACCGCAUGGUUCUAUAGUGAACGACGGUUUUGCUGUCCCUUAUAGAUGGAUCCGCGCCGCAUUAGCUAGUUGGUAAGGUAACGGCUUACCAAGGCAACGAUGCGUAGCCGACCUGAGAGGGUGAUCGGCCACACUGGAACUGAGACACGGCCCAGACUCCUACGGGAGGCAGCAGUAGGGAAUCUUCCGCAAUGGGCGAAAGCCUGACGGAGCAACGCCGCGUGAGUGAUGAAGGUCUUCGGAUCGUAAAACUCUGUUAUUAGGGAAGAACAAAUGUGUAAGUAACUAUGCACGUCUUGACGGUACCUAAUCAGAAAGCCACGGCUAACUACGUG
RNAcentral lists this ribosomal RNA (497 nucleotides) under uncultured bacterium. Its description in RNAcentral is "partial 16S ribosomal RNA". It matches the Rfam family "Bacterial small subunit ribosomal RNA", at positions 28 to 507 of the family's 1533-position model. The record is from RNAcentral.